UACAUGGGGUGCAAACGUUGCUCGGAAUCAUUGGGCGUAAAGCGCGCGUAGGCGGUUGCUUAAGUCGGAUGUGAAAGCCCUCGGCUUAACUGAGAAAGUGCAUCCGAAACUGAGCAGCUAGAGUACGAAAGAGGGUCGCGGAAUUCCCGGUGUAGAGGUGAAAUUCGUAGAUAUCGGGAGGAACACCGGUGGCGAAGGCGGCGACCUGGGUCGAGACUGACGCUGAGGCGCGAAAGCGUGGGGAGCAAACAGG
This 253-nucleotide ribosomal RNA is filed under the name uncultured bacterium. RNAcentral's name for it is "partial 16S ribosomal RNA". It matches the Rfam family "Bacterial small subunit ribosomal RNA", at positions 524 to 776 of the family's 1533-position model. The record is from RNAcentral.